Molecule: ribosomal RNA, 492 nt
Filed under: uncultured bacterium
Lineage: Bacteria
Description: partial 16S ribosomal RNA
Rfam family: Bacterial small subunit ribosomal RNA
Source: RNAcentral
AUUGAACGCUGGCGGCAUGCUUUACACAUGCAAGUCGAACGGUAACAGGCCUUCUGUUGCUGACGAGUGUCGAACGCGUGUGUAAUUCAUCGGAACGUACCCCGUGUUUGGUGAUAACGCAUCGAAAGCUGUGCUCAUACCUCAUGUGAUCUGAGUAUGAAAGCGGGGGACCUUUCAGCAAUUUUUGCCCUCUCGUCUUUGUAGCUGCCGAUGUCGGAUUAGAUAGUUGGUUGGGUAAAGGCCUACCAAGGCGACGAUCCGUAGCUGGUCUGAGAGGACGAGCAGCGACACUGGGACUGAGACACGGAACAGACUACUACGGGAGGAAGCAAUGGGGAAUAUUGGACAAUGGGCGGAAGCAUGAUACAGCAAUGCCGCGUGCGGGAAGAAGGACUUCGGGUUGUAAACAGAUUUUGGGAGGAAAGAAAAGGUGUAAGAUAAUAACGGGAGAUAAUGACGGUACCUGAAGAAUAAGCACCGGCUAACUACGUG